RNAcentral lists this ribosomal RNA (449 nucleotides) under uncultured bacterium. RNAcentral's name for it is "partial 16S ribosomal RNA". It matches the Rfam family "Bacterial small subunit ribosomal RNA", at positions 29 to 523 of the family's 1533-position model. The record is from RNAcentral.
AACGAACGCUGGCGGCAUGCCUAACACAUGCAAGUCGAACGGGGUCUUCGGGUCUAGUGGCGCACGGGUGCGUAACGCGUGGGAAUCUGCCCUUUGGUUCGGAAUAACAGUUGGAAACGACUGCUAAUACCGGAUGAUGACGAAAGUCAAAAGAUUUAUCGCCAGAGGAUGAGCCCGCGUGGGAUUAGCUAGUUGGUGUGGUAAAGGCGCACCAAGGCGACGAUCCUUAGCUGGUCUGAGAGGAUGAUCAGCCACACUGGGACUGUGACACGGCCCAGACUUCUACGGGAGGCAGCAGUGGGGAAUAUUGGACAAUGGGCGAAAGCCUGAUCCAGCAAUGCCGCGUGAGUGAUGAAGGCCUUAGGGUUGUAAAGCUCUUUUACCCGGGAUGAUAAUGACAGUACCGGGAGAAUAAGCUCCGGCUAACUCCGUGCCAGCCGCCGCCGUAA